UUAUCAUCCUGACUGAAAUACCCUCCCAACCCAACCAAGCUGGAGAACGGACUUCUGCAGCUGCAAAUGUUUCAAGCCUCCCUCCUCCGUCCCAAAGGCUAUCUCAGAUAAGGCGGCGAAAAAAAACGCAAGCGUGAUGACAUGUUCCCUGAGCUCAUGCAGUCGUCCGGCACUGACAGAGCUCAGCAGAACGUGUGGAGGGA
Chelonia mydas (Green sea turtle) is the source of this 203-nucleotide long non-coding RNA. RefSeq lists it as uncharacterized. The record is from RefSeq and is a predicted model, not a curated record. The transcript is spliced from 2 exons. NCBI's taxonomy places the organism in Eukaryota, Metazoa, Chordata, Testudines, Cheloniidae.